Long non-coding RNA from Talpa occidentalis (Iberian mole), 459 nucleotides. RefSeq lists it as uncharacterized. Lineage: Eukaryota; Metazoa; Chordata; Mammalia; Eulipotyphla; Talpidae. The record is from RefSeq and is a predicted model, not a curated record. The transcript has 3 exons.
CCCGCCGGGCGGUACCUCGCCGUACACCUGGCUCUGCUUUCUCAUGUAGACGUGGGGGAGCUCGGCUGAGGCGGCCAGCUCUUUUGGCGUGGGAUCCCUUAAGAAUCGUGAUUACACAAUAUUUUGGCAACCUGAGUUAUCAACCUAUCUUCACUCCUCUCUGGUCUUCUCAAAGUGGUUACCACAUGGCGGUCCCAGGGAUGUUGGUGGAACAGGAAAUGAAGGACUUCACUGUUUCGUGGCAAGGAUCCUGUCUUCAUUAUGCAGGUUGGAAUGUUUCCCUGGAGAAAUGUGAAAGCCUAUAUGUGGGUCUAAUAUUCCUAUGUACAAGACAGUGACGUUUUCAACAAAGGACAAAUGGUUGCUGUGUUGGAGCAAUGGUCUCUUGGCCUUUGGGAACUGUCCCUACAGGACUCAUCCUGAGGGUCAGUGUCAGGUGACAAAGUGUCUUAAGGACUC